CGUCGAGAGGGAGACAGCCCAGACCGUCGUCUAAGGUCCCGAAGCGUGUGCUAAGUGGGAAAGGAUGUGGAGUCGCAUAGACAGCCAGGAGGUUGGCUCAGAAGCAGCCAUCCUUGAAAGAGUGCGUAACAGCUCACUGGUCUAGUGGUUCCGCGCCGACAAUGUAGCGGGGCUCAAGCACACCACCGAAGACGCGGCAGCAAUCUUCAUGGUUGCUGGGUAGGAGAGCGUCCUGCGAGGGGCGAAGCGGCGGUGGAAACCGGCCGUGGACUUCGUGGGAGUGAGAAUGCAGACAUGAGUAGCGAGAGACGGGUGAGGAUCCCGUCCGCUGGAUGACCAAGGGUUCCGGGGCCACGUUCGUCGUCCCCGGGUGAGUCGGGUCCUAAGGCGAGGCCGACAGGCGUAGUCGAAUGGAUGAACGGGUGGAUAUUCCCGUACCGACCAUGGACCGGCAAAACCGAGACGGUGAGUACUAACCUCCGCCUCGUGGUGGUUCCUUCCUUCGGGUUGGUAUCGCCGCGUGGUGUUGGGAGCGUAGCCGCAGUAGGUCAGCGCAGGGGUGACACGGAAUGGGAGCCGGCCGCGGAGGUGGUUUUCCGUGGUCAAGCACGCAGCCAGUCAUGUAGGCAAAUCCGCAUGGCGCGCAUGGCGAGGUGUGAUGAUGGGAGCCGUUAUGGCUCGAUAUCCGGUUGUCCAGGCCGUCGAGAAAAGCCUCGGCGUGAGGGCCAUGGCCGCCCGUACCCCAAACCGACACUGGUGGUCAGGUAGAGAAUACCAAGGCGAUCGAGCGAAUCCUGGUCAAGGAACUCGGCAAAUCACUCCCGUGCCUUCGGUAUAAGGGAGACCCGCUGGGGUGAACCGGCUAGCCCGGGGAGCUUUGGUGGGUGGCACAGACCAGGGGGUAGCGACUGUUUACCAAAAACACAGGUGCAUGCGAAGGCGAAAGCCGCUGUAUAUGCACUGACGCCUGCCCGGUGCCGGAAGGUUAAGAGGAUCCGUCAAUCCCUUCGGGGACGAAGCGGUGAAUUCAAGCCCCGGUAAACGGCGGUGGUAACUAUAACCAUCCUAAGGUAGCGAAAUUCCUUGUCGGGUAAGUUCCGACCUGCACGAAUGGCGUAACGACUUCCCCACUGUCUCGACCAGGAGCUCGGCGAAAUUGCAGUACGAGUAAAGAUGCUCGUUAAGCGCAGAAGGACGAAAAGACCCCGGGACCUUUACUAUACCUUGGUAUUGGCGUUAGGCGCGGAUUGUGUAGCAUAGGCGGGAGGCUUCGAAGCGGGUGCGCCAGCAUUCGUGGAGCCGCAAGGUGAAAUACCGCUCUGUUCUCGUUUGACGUCUAACCUCGACAAGUCAUCCUUGUCAGGGACAGUGCCUGGGCGGGUAGUUCAACUGGGGCGGUUGCCUCCCAAAGAGUAACGGAGGCGCUCAAAGGUCCGCUCAGCCCGGUUGGCAA
RNAcentral lists this ribosomal RNA (1453 nucleotides) under human gut metagenome. RNAcentral's name for it is "bacterial LSU rRNA". It matches the Rfam family "Bacterial large subunit ribosomal RNA", at positions 1009 to 2337 of the family's 2925-position model. The record is from RNAcentral.